GAAGGCAGGUUACUAAGCAACAACUGACGCUGAUGGACGAAAGCGUGGGGAGCGAACAGGAUUAGAUACCCUGGUAGUCCACGCCGUAAACGAUGCUAACUCGUUUUUGGGCUUUCGGGUUCAGAGACUAAGCGAAAGUGAUAAGUUAGCCACCUGGGGAGUACGAACGCAAGUUUGAAACUCAAAGGAAUUGACGGGGGCCCGCACAAGCGGUGGAUUAUGUGGUUUAAUUCGAUGAUACGCGAGGAACCUUACCAAGGCUUAAAUGGGAAAUGACAGGUUUAGAAAUAGACUUUUCUUCGGACAUUUUUCAAGGUGCUGCAUGGUUGUCGUCAGCUCGUGCCGUGAGGUGUUAGGUUAAGUCCUGCAACGAGCGCAACCCCUGUCACUAGUUGCCAUCAUUAAGUUGGGGACUCUAGUGAGACUGCCUACGCAAGUAGAGAGGAAGGUGGGGAUGACGUCAAAUCAUCACGGCCCUUACGCCUUGGGCCACACACGUAAUACAAUGGCCGGUACAGAGGGCAGCUACACAGCGAUGUGAUGCAAAUCUCGAAAGCCGGUCUCAGUUCGGAUUGGAGUCUGCAACUCGACUCUAUGAAGCUGGAAUCGCUAGUAAUCGCGCAUCAGCCAUGGCGCGGUGAAUACGUUCCCGG
Molecule: ribosomal RNA, 653 nt
Filed under: Chryseobacterium sp.
Lineage: Bacteria; Pseudomonadati; Bacteroidota; Flavobacteriia; Flavobacteriales; Weeksellaceae
Description: bacterial SSU rRNA
Rfam family: Bacterial small subunit ribosomal RNA
Source: RNAcentral